AUCACAGUGGCAAUGCAAUAGCCUGUUUGUUAUAAAAAUCUAAUAAUUGGUCUACAAGUUUCGUAUUGAGAGGAGGCUACAGCUGACAUAAUUGCUUCUCCCCUGAAAUUGCAGAUGUGGAUGUGGUGGGAUGCCCCUUUCUCUCUGCUGUGGGUCUGCGCCCUGACCAGGACAGGAGCCUGUGAAGCUCCUUGAGCGAGCACAGUCUGCAAGGCCAGCCCAGGAGGCACUGCCGUGCCCGAGGUUUGGCCAGUUUCCCUUCAGCUGAAGAAACACUGACUCGAGAAACCCCAGAAUAUUUGCCAUGGCAUCCACAGCCAGCCUCUGAUAGACAACAUGGGGUUGCCCUGACUGCUUCCCACUGGACUCAGCAUCCCUCUCUGCCUCUCACCUUGCUCCAGCUGUGUGUGAAAAACUCUGCUGCUGUGGCCUUGAGAUCACCAGAAAAGUAACAUUGCUCAAAGAAAGCAUGCUCAUACUUAGAAGGACCUUCGUUGCAUAUUAAUUAUGAGAUCCCUAAACCUUAAUGCUAAAAUAAAAUUUGAACUUUUAAACUUGA
Non-coding RNA from Lonchura striata (white-rumped munia), 559 nucleotides. NCBI's taxonomy places the organism in Eukaryota, Metazoa, Chordata, Aves, Passeriformes, Estrildidae. The record is from RefSeq and is a predicted model, not a curated record.